AUUGAACGCUGGCGGCAGGCCUAACACAUGCAAGUCGAGCGGAGCGGCGGACGGGUGAGUAAUGACUAGGAAUCUGCCUGGUAGUGGGGGAUAACGUCCGGAAACGGGCGCUAAUACCGCAUACUAUCAGAUGAGCCUAGGUCGGAUUAGCUAGUUGGUUGGGUAAAGCCCUACCAAGGCGACGAUCCGUAACUGGUCUGAGAGGAUGAUCAGACACACUGGAACUGAGACACGGUCAAGACUCCUACGGGAGGCGGAAGGGGGGAAUAUUGGACAAGGGGCGAAAGCCUGAUGCAACCAGGCCGCGGAUGUGAAGAAGGUCUUCGGAUGGUAAAGCACGUUAAGUUGGGAGGCGUUACCAACAGAAUAAGCACCGGCUAACUUCGUGCCAGCAGCCGCGGUAAUAC
RNAcentral lists this ribosomal RNA (407 nucleotides) under uncultured bacterium. RNAcentral's name for it is "partial 16S ribosomal RNA". It matches the Rfam family "Bacterial small subunit ribosomal RNA", at positions 29 to 526 of the family's 1533-position model. The record is from RNAcentral.